UCUAAUGUGAAUGAGGAAAGAGUCAAUACUCCUGUCAACGAUCUGUCUAAUGGAGAGCAAACAUUUAAGCGCAACAUGACAUUACCCUCUUCUCAUAUGCAUACCCUGGUGCAAGGCGGGAAAGAUCUAAAUAUCUCGGAGAAGCAUUAUGGGAGUGUUAUCUACCUUAUUUUAGGUUUGUGGACUCCGGUGAUGAUUCUUGAGUUAGUUAGAAGGUCCAGUAUACAGGUUUUUGGUUAGAACAAUGUUCAUCGACAGUCUUGUGUGGAUCUUGUGGAUCGAUUUUUGUGAUCAUUUGUGUGUUUGAGGAUGUUUAGCUGACAUAUGGGAAGUGCAUGGACAAUUUUUUUUGGUCCGCAUGAUUGUUUUGAUUCAGAUUGAGCCGACUUGGUAUACAUGUUUCAUCAUUUGUACCGUGUUCUUGAAGCCGACAUGUAGAAGACAUAAUUUGAUGUUGCGGACAUAAAAGAGUGAUUGAUAUGA
Long non-coding RNA from Cryptomeria japonica (Japanese cedar), 483 nucleotides. RefSeq lists it as uncharacterized. The transcript is spliced from 2 exons. The record is from RefSeq and is a predicted model, not a curated record. NCBI's taxonomy places the organism in Eukaryota, Viridiplantae, Streptophyta, Pinopsida, Cupressales, Cupressaceae.